Long non-coding RNA from Dromaius novaehollandiae (emu), 13555 nucleotides. RefSeq lists it as uncharacterized. The transcript is spliced from 10 exons. The record is from RefSeq and is a predicted model, not a curated record. NCBI's taxonomy places the organism in Eukaryota, Metazoa, Chordata, Aves, Casuariiformes, Dromaiidae.
UGCAGCGAAGCUGAGCCCCGCGUUGGCAGAGCGGGGUGUCUGCAUGCACGCGUGCCGCAACGGCGGCUGCAGGAGGAAUAAGCUGGAAAGCUGCUGCUUUGGCAACACGGAUUCUGGCUCUCAGGCCCAGGAGAAAAUGCAGUGGGAGAGAUUAGCUGCUCUUCGCACUCUUACAACUCCUUUUCCAAGAAGACACUCCCUUGCCAAGGCUAAUAAGUGAAUCCUGGUGCAACCUCAGGACAAGUAAUUAUCAUCAUUGUCAUAUUAGGCCCCAAAACCCAGAGUCCUGCCCUAGAUGGUUCUCCUGCUAAUGACUAGGAAAAUGCCAGACGUAAGGAAAUCGGGCCGCGGAGAGCGAAGCGCCUGGCGUUCCUCCUGGGAUCCUCUCCCGUUGGUCAGAAGUGGAUCUUCCUUGUCCUGCAGCGAUGAAGCCGCAUCUGAAAACGUGCCCGGUGGCUGCGGACUGGCAAACGGCACUGACUGUGCACUGACCACCAAUGGUCAGGAGAGAUGCAAAGAGAGGACGAGCACGAGGUACCAUCGUACCUUCACUGGUUCAGCCGGGCAGUCCAUGUUAAAAUAACCGUCAGCACCAUCCAAAGCACCUCCUGGGGACGGUGUGCCAGCAGAGAUGGGGUGGGAGCAGACAGACGUGUCCCCGUUCUGCCCGUGAUGCAGGUGUAGGUUGGGGCUGCUGCCUGACCUUGGCAGAUCCCCCUCCACACGUGUAGGAGGAGAACAUCUCCCUCCUCCUUGUUUCACCAGUGCCGUUUUUGGAGCAGUAGGGCUUUUAAGUGGCUCCCUGUUCACUAAGAGUUAAGGGGACUGUGCGGCUUUGAAGAUAAGAAACAGAUGAUAAAGGUUAGAGGAGGGAUCGUGUUACCAUUAUGCAGCCUGUAAAUGCAAACUAAUUAGAAUGCAGCCCUUUUCCCGAGAAAAUGCAAAGGAAGAGAAAGUAAAAAACUCAUUCCCCUGACCCCAAAAGAAGCCGAGUGAGCAGUAAAGACCUGAGACUGUAGAAUAACUCAGCUUUGCUGGUGAGUUUUGCCCACAGCUAGAAAAUGCGCAUCAGCCGAGGUGCGUGUGUCCACGCAUGCAAGGUUGCUCCUCAGCACGCUCUUCCCGCUGCGCUGCAGGAAUGAAGGACAUGGAUCCUCUCGAGUGAAGGUCUCUGGCCGGUGCUGUAAGGAGGCUGGAUGAUGGUAACAGCUCACGGUGUGCUUCAAAGCCAGGAUUCAGCGUGGGACAGGACUGAUCCGCUCCCAGGUGAGGUUGUCAAGGCUGCUCACUGCCUGUGAGCUCUGGGCCCGUAAGAAAGACUUAUUUUUUUUCUUUUUAACCUAAAUGCAAAGCAGUUUCCCUCAAUGAAGCGGCUGUCUCGCAGGCCUCUGGGCCCGGCUCGUGCCGUCAUCUCCGGGUGCCUGGGCUCAGCCUCCCCGUCCGUUUCGGAGGCCGAUGGGUUUCCGUGCCACCGUGGUGCUGUGCCGCUGGGACAACGGCAGACAGACCUCCACGAAGGCCUCCGCAGAGCAAACUGCCUAAAGCCCGGCAUAUUUCUCUUGGACGAGGCGCAGGGCUCAGCCUGCCCCACCGGGAACCUCGGGCGAGCCGGCAGCCAGCGGGCUGCAGCACCGAGCGCCCGGGAGAAACUUCCAGCUCGCCGUGUCGGCUGUCGAACGGUGCUGAGGUCCCUAACCGCUGCUCCGAAGCAGGAGCAGAGAGAGGACUUGAGUCACAGCAGGCCUUGGGCACAAACCCGGAGUUUGCAGUCCAAGGCUUUGGUCUUCGCCCGUGUUUUGCUCGCCCGGGAGGACGCGAGCACGUGCCGGGCGAGCAGCGAUGCCGCCUCCCUCCGCAGGAUGCUGCUGCCGUGGAGCCUUCCCCCAAGGGGAAAGCAUGUUCUCCCUCCGUGCAGCACCGGUGACUUCAACUUUUAAAAAUAAGCAAAGGUUUCAGCACAGCCCUGCACGCGAUGUCUAGCCAAAAUGCAAAACUUUACCACAGUGCACAAGUGGGCUGUGUUUUUCAGACCAGGGAACAACGUUAGGGCCCUUUCAUCACCUUUCUUUUGCACUUCUUUUAAACAUGAUUUAAAUUGGAGGCAAUAGUAUUGAACCUCUGACACUCGGGCAAGGCUCUCUGGAUCGUAUGCUUAAGCUGCAUCCAUUUUCUGUAGCCGCUUUGCUUGGAGCCCUCGUGGGUUUUUUCCUAUGCAUUUGUUCUUUCCGCUCUGUUUGCUCUUUGUGUCAUCCUGGUGAGAUUUCAUUUAAUUUCUUUUACCUCGGCAUAGGAGGGAGAACCGGUGACCGCCGGGGCUUCAUCGCUAAACCCUGCUGCUGCAGCACUCCAAAAAACAAGGCUCGCUUUCAGCGCGGUUCGAACAGCAGCGCUCGGGAGGCCGCGCCGACCCCUCCGUCCCGCUUCUGCCGCUGAGGAAAACGCGCAGUGGCAGCGAGUCAAAUCCAGAUUGCUCAGCAGAAAGGAAAAACGAGCUUGGAAGCUGCCCUGGAAGCGGCCCAGGCAGCAAGGCCGCGCGCGUGGGCGAGGGCGGCCGCCUCGUCUUGCGGCCGACGCGGGGCCGGAGCCGCUGGCUGCCACGCGGGACGCGGCCCGCCGUGGUCGGAGCCCUCCUGAAUCAGCUGCACGAAAAUACUUGUGGGCAGCAAAAAUAGCCGGCGCUGAAACCCUGCGUCUGCGGAGGGUGGAAACGGCUGGGAGUUCCUCGCCGGCUGCGGCCGCUCGCUAUAACCCGUGUCGUAAAUAAGACGGGGUGUCGCGGUGUGCUGCGGCCGGCCGUGUCCCCGCCGGCAUCCCGGUGUGGCCGCGGGAGCCGUCGCUGCCCGAGAAACCUUUCGGAGAAGGAAGAAACCAAGCGGCAGCGUGCGUUUCUCCACCGCACCAGGGCGGUGGCACAGGGGAGUUCGCCCAGAAUUGCCCGGAAAGUAUCCAAAAUAGCCCAAAGUUGCUGCUUUGAAGCCCUUCUGCAGCCUCCCUGCCCCUCGUGCCCUGAACACUAAGGUCAUUUCUGCGCCAAGCUCUGGCAGGCCUCAGUGGGAAGGCAGCCCGCGGCGGUGGCUCCGUUCACGGCACUUUUGCAAAGCAGAGUUCAGCCCUACGGCUACGUAGCCGUGCCGUGCAAAUGCGUGCAAACCCGAAUUUUGGAUCAGCUGGCAAGACGCAGCUAAACCAUAUAAUCUGGAGCCAUUAAGGUGAAUGUUAGUGCCGUGUAAAGCUCCCACUCGUUUGCACGGGGCAGCUCGUCGAGCGGGACGCUCCAGCGGAACUGGAGUCGCCCUCCCCGUCGGUGAGGAACGGGCCGCCCCAUCCACCAGCUCCAGGUGCUAUUCCCUCCGGCGAGCAUCGCGGCAGGGCCCCGGACGGCGCUUUUGCCUGUUUGAAGCACCCGGGCGCGCGUGGAUGGAGCAGAGCGGGCCCCGGGCUCGCGCGCCUGCAGCCCUCUGUCCGUCCUGCCCCAGCGCGGGAGAGCGGCUCCGUGCCGGUGCCGGUGCCGGCCGGGCGGCAGCCAGCAGAGGGAGAGUCGGAGCGCCAGGCCCUGCUCCUGCCGGGCUCUAUUUCCCAGGAGCCGGCGGCUGAGCAGCUCCGAGCUGUCGCUGCAUCGGAGCAGCUGCAAGGACGCGCUUUGCUUCCCGCUGAGCCGUGUCCCGUGCCGGACGCGGGGCCGGGAGCGCCUGGUGCCGGGCCGCGGUUCCCGAUAGCGGUGCAAAGCAGCAGCCCGAAGGGCGCGAUCGCAAGGUGAGCGCGACGGGAGCUUCCCGCGGCUCCCGGGCGGGGUGGCCGGGUGCUGCCCCUUCCCGCUGCCGCCCCGCCGCGGGCAGCUGCAAUUAGCCCCUUGUUGUUACAGAUGUUUGCAGCUUUCCACGUCAGCUCCACGUUUGGCUCCCCUUCUGUCCUAAUUGAGACCAGAAAUCCAAUUAGACAAUAAUCCCGUCCUUUUUGAAGCCGCUGGCCGCAGCGUCACAUGAGCCGGCUCCGCGGCCAUCGGGCCAGCAACGGGAGCAACUGGCAGCAGCGAAACCCCCGGCGCGGCUGAUGGGGCGCGGCGGUGAGAUCCGCAUCGGGGACCGGCACGAGCCGGGCUCCGCCGCUCGCAACAGCAGAUGCUCAGACAAGGGGCCGUAGCGUGCAUGGCUUUGUUGCUGUUCCUGAUCAGGCACAAGGGUUCUUGCAGAAGUGACAGCUGCUGCCCGAAGCAGCUCGUUUUUAUUUGCACAGAUGCGCAGGGUGAAGGGAGGUGGCAGAGGUUUGAGCAAGCGCCCUGAAAGAAGCAUGUUAGAGGUGGCAUUUCCUUGACCUGGAGAUCUCGGGGCCGGCUAUGAGCAGCUCCGGCUUAACGCAGGCUGGAGCCUCCCAGCACCUGACCCAGACCUAGCCGUGAGGCCUGCCGGGGAGAGCGGCCCCGGGGCUGCCGUCGCUUAGGGGCCUCCUGAAUACGAACUGUCCCAGAAAUUGCUUUUCUUGCAAUGCAUUCAGUAUGCCUGCAUGUUAUAUAGUCUUCCUUUGAGAGUAUAUAUGUCUCUAUCUACACACACGUAUGUGUGUACGCGUGUGCUUUUGGUCUAGUUCACUCUAGUUUUGCAGUGACUUUGAGGAGUCAAUCAAGAUGCGUCGUCAUUGUGCUUAGAGUAACGAUGGAGUUAAUGCUCAUCCGUCGGGCUUGGGCGUUGGGGGCUCAGCGCUCCCCGAACCCGGGAGAGGUCAGCCGCGCUCACCAGGAGCUGCGAGGGGCUCGUGCGAGCCGCUUGCCGGGUGAUCGCCCCAGCACCAUGCCUACAAAACCAAGCUGCUGCCGAAAAAUCAAAUCCAGUCCAGUUCCUGGGCUUUCUGCUGAGAAGGCCAAGUGCUGGUUUGCGCAACCGUUGCCUUGCAGCAAACGCGCUGCUUUGAGUCCGGUAUUAACCACGGUCUUGAGCUGGGGCUCUGAGCGUGUUGCAGGGAGUUUUUCAGACCAGGAGCUCUGCGAGCAGGUUCCUCGGGAAGCUCAGAUUAGCUGCAUCUCCCUCCGCUCCGGCCGUCUAGCGACAGAAAAACAGGAAGCUGCACCAAAUUAGCUGCGCGGCGGAGCCUCCCCAAAGCCACAGCACGGCAAUCACGGGCACCACUCAGCUGCUUUUAUCCUGCCCUGCAGCAGCUGUGCAUUAGGCCAGCAGUUUGAUUUGGUGUCUCAGGCUGCUACUGUGGAGGAAAGCAAGAAGGGAAAAAGAAUUAAGGGGAGAGGUUUAGAGCUCAAGGCCUCCCAUUGCAUUGUUUUCAUCCUCUUCCCAUCCUGUAAAAAGAAGCAAAAAUAGCUCAAACUCCAUUUUUCUCCGCAAUUAAAUUAAGGCUGAAGAAAUGAGAGAAACAGCAUCAUCCGACUCCUGAUGGUUUUAUGCCUCACUGGACAAGUCGUGUCGACUCCAUGAAUUAAACUGCUCUGUUGGAGUUGGGCUCCAGCCGAGGGCUGAAGGAUGAGUUUGCUGCCAGCAGGUUUCCGUGGGGGAUACAGCUAUGGUCAUGUUGUACCGCCCAUGGUUUGGAGCAUCACACGUAGGAGUGCUCAUUUUGGGGUGUCUGUGGUGUCUCUCCAUAUUUGAAGCAGAUUGUUAGAGACGGGAUGUAUGGUAUAGUGUGUCCUCUCUGUCCUUCAGGCUUCGUAGCUGCUCUGUCCCUUUGCUGCUUUCCUCGAUCCAAACUGGAAGUAGCCUGAGUAGACUGGGGUUCUGUGGCUGUGGGGUUUUUUUUUGUCUAAUAAGAAACCCCCCGCAUAACCUAACAAAAUAUAAUUCUUUAAGAUAUCAAGUAUGUUUUCCUGGGGACAGGUAUCAACAGCAUCACUGGUGGAAAGGACGUUCCCUGACCCGGUGGACCAAUGUUUGCAUGAUUCGCAUGAUGACCCGGAGGCAACUGAGAAGGUUUAUAAAAGACAAUUAAAUAACAAUGUCUAGUAACACAAGCCACUCUGUGCUGGGUUAGAAAGGAACAAUUUGCCCCAGAUGGGCACUGGCAAUUUAAAGGCAGUACAGGAAAUGGCAUUUGAGUGGAAAGGCCUGGGGUGAUGCCUGGGGAGAGCACGUGCUCUUACACGUUCAGUGGUCCUUCGGAGCUGGUGGUGUGCCAGCUCCUGUCUCCUAAGCAGGUCUUCACAGCUCUGAUUUGUGUUUCUCAGGGUAUCUUGGCAUGUCUCUAUGUCCUGGUGGAAAACAUAAGCUCUUCCAGAGCCCGUCACUGCAAGGAGUUGGCUGUCUGAGAACUGCUUGAUAGCAGACGUGCCAGGAGAAAGCUGGUUUUGUUGGUAGACAACCAUCCAGACAUGAAAAAAUAACUGUUACUGCAUUUUAAUUCCCCCAAACAUUGCUUAUUGCUGGAAGCCAACCUCUCGGUGCCCCGAGCGUCCCUCCUCCCUGUCGCACAUGUCCCUCGGGGCCCGGGCUCGCACCCGCAGCGAGAGGCUGAGAUCUCCUCGGAGGAGAAGCAGCCAAAAACGAGGAGGGGAGGCCGUCGGGGCUGGCCGUGUCCGUCUCACGGCCCAGCGUCCUUGGCCCCCCCAGGGCUCUCAGGAUGUGUGCUGCUCUGGUUAUGCACUUAAUAGCUACCUAGCCAGAGUGCUGGGCAUUUCAGCACCAAAAAUGAAUAUUUAGCUUCUCUCUCAGACAGGACUUGAGGUGGGUGGCAAACGGGCAGGAACAAGACUCCGCAUAAUAUAAUAUUAUGUGUAUUUAAAAGAUUGAAACGGGCCCAAAAUCCCCCUGUGGGUCUGUAGCACUGGCAUUUGGCUGGUGUGCAAACCUGCUCCACGGGGCUGCAGGGAAGCCAAGCUUGCGCAGAAGGUCCUGGAAAAGCGAUUCAGGUCAGAGGAACCACUGCAGCUGGCACGCAGAAAUCUUGCUAUUCCUGCUCCGUGGACUGUGUUUGGGGGUAAAAACACAGCCAGAGGCAGGAAGAUCGGACAGGAGUUUGCAAUGGCUGUUGGAAACGGGGGCAGCGCGUUGCUCGGAUGGAGGCGCGGGCAGAGGUGCCGGCGAGCCCCGUCCCGCGGCUGGAGCUCGAGCAGACGAGCCCUAUUUAUUACUGCUGCCGGUGCUGCGUGCGUUCGAUUUAUUUUUGCACGCCUCAAGCGCAGGCCUCCCUGAGCACCGCACACGUUGCUUGAGCUGCACCGGCUGAUGGUCCUGCCGCGGGCAUGAUGCAUCCCUGCAAAAAUCACGGUUAUCCUGAGUUUGCUUUUAGCUGCGUUUUGGUGAAGCCGUAGGCCUGCUGGCUGCGGAUUUCUCCGAUUGAACGCUAACUAUGCGUAUUGGUGAUUUAAAUACAGCCUCAAUGUUUAUUUUGGGGGAAAAAAAAGAAAAAAAACAGAGGCAGUGGAAGGGUUGGAAAAACGCUCGGGCAGGGAGGGACUGGGCGUGUGGCGGGUCCCGGCGCGUCGAAGCUGGCGCUGGGGAGCAGAGGCAGAUCCCCCCGCCGGCCCCUCCUGUAUCGGCAUCCUCGGGAAGCGGGGAUCAGGACUGGGACUGGGACCAGGACCAGGACCCAAAGCCGUUGCUCAGGGCCUGUCUCUCAUCUCGGCUGCCGCUGCCAAUUCCUCGCGCGGCUUUGGGCAAAACGAGCGACACGAAGCGGAAGCCCUCGGGAGAACCAGAUUCCUCCCCGGCCUUUCAAUUAGCUUCUAAUCCCUUCGCGCUCAUAAAAUCUCAGCUGCAGGCUGCCCCGUUCGUGUGUCUCCACCGGCCGCGAAAGCCGCCUCCCUGAGCAUCCGUCGGUGCGGUUUAGGCUGCAACCCCGGGCUGUGCCAGCGGCCACACCUCUCCCCAAAGAACAUGUAAUUGCAAACGGUUUUUUUCUUUUUUUCCCCUUUCCUCCCAUUUAACGUAAAACAAGCAGACAUCCGUCACCAUCUUCUGCUCGGGCUCUGAUGCAAACUUUUUUCCACCUGGCAGAGUUAGAUGUUCAAAAAAUAAAAAUAAAGAAAAAAAAGGCAGGCGGUGGAGGUAUUUUUAAACGCAUGACACAGAGGAGAGUGACACACUCGGUGUUCUCAGUGGGUGGGUGCAGUGUUAUUUCAUGUUAUUCUUGUCGCUGGGCCCAGCAUUACCAGCGUGCACGUUAUUAGCCGCAUCUGAUAAUAGCGCAGGGCCAUGGGUGGCCGCGGGGCCGGGGGCCACGGGCUCGCCGCCCUCCCCCGGCGUUUCUGCUCGGCGGCCGGUGCUGCUGCGAGCCCGUCGUCCCGUGUCCGUCUGUCCGUCCGAGGGCUUUGCCGGUGCUGGCUUCUGGUGAUGGAGGGAGCAGGGGCCACAUGCAGACAUGCGCGUACGCACACGCACAGCAUGGGAAGCGGGGAAGUGAGGAUGAAGGUGGCCGAGGCUGAAGCUGGCCAACACCUGACGGGCUCGCCAGCCCCUUGUACGCGAACUCCCGGUUUUAUAGCCCUAUAAAAGGCAGCUGACAGAAGAGGUUCCGAUUUUGGAGGCUCCAGCUGAGCUGGGAGGAGCCGGCACCGUCUCGCGGCGCCGGAGCCGCGUCUGCUGGUGCCGAGCCUCGGCCGUGACGUCAGGGCGAGGGACCGGGCCGGGAUUCCCGGCGUGCCAGAGGGCAGGACCGGCGCGCUCGCCCGAGCCGUCGCCUCGACCCCUGCCAGCAGCUCCGAGUAGCUGCUUUCCUGGCUCGCCUCGCUGGAGACUCUGCGCAAUGCUUGGACGGGCUGCCCAGCGCCGGCGCAGCUCCCUCCGGCUCCGGAUUUGCGGCUGCUUCGCUGCAGACGCAGCAGCGCGCAGGGAAGGCCGAGGCCGGCGGGAGCCCGGCACCCGCCGAGCGCCUGGGUCUCCGGCUGCCUCCAACACCCGCGCGCCAGUGCUGCUCGGAGCUGGUGCAAAGCGACGCGGCUCCGUGGGCUGGGCCACAGCUGACUUUGUUCCCUGCUUACGGCCUCUUCCACUUGCAGGCUUGCUCUCUCUGCCCUGCCCGCUUCUCGCCAUGUGCACUCAUGGGUUUCCUUUUCGUUAGAUACCUGAAAUACCUUCCUGGAGCCAGGCCAGGCGGCUUGGCUCAGGUACCUUCUCACGCUUGCUGCUUUCUUGUGGCUCGCUGCCACGGUCUCCGAGGGCGAGCUCCUGGUGGGGCCAUUGCAGAAAGGCAACGAGGGAGGAGGACGGGCCCAAACCAGGGGCACAGGGAUGGCAGCAGAAGAGCCACCUUCCUGAACUGGGGAGGUUUCAAAUAGGGGCGGCAGCAGGGCUGGGGCAUCUCUUCUCUUGACCCGUCGUGUCCCAGGCGGGCAGGGAAGCAUCGGUGCUGGCAGGUGGUCUCCGGGGCCAAGGUUACAGCUGGGGACUGUCACAGAAAGUUGGUUCUAGCUGCAACAUUAGCUGGUGUGGAGAUUCGCUGAUGGAUGCAGGGAUGCUUCGUGGCCAUCGUGAUCAGACUCAUCCCUGAGUUACGAGCUCGUCUCCCGGACCACAGAGAAACCAGGGAACUGUCCUCCUCGUCCCACAGCGAGGAGAAGCCAUGGUAUGGUGCAAGUGAUGCCCUCUGACAGACAAACAUCUUUUUAAAGAUGUUUCUGCUAAAUCCUAUAAGAUGUGGAUGGAGCAAACCCAUUGGAAAUGUUAGACUGUGACAGCUCUGCUCUGUAAAGCUGAAAAUUGGGGGAAAUUGGUCUUUUGGCUUGUUUCCAUAUGUACGAAGGGGAACUUGGUAUAAAGCUCAGCACAUGGGAUGUGCUGCUUUGUCACCUGUUAUCUGCCUGGAAAAGCCAAAUCAUCUCCGAGGGCUCCUCUGCCUCUUCUGGGCGUUAUGUCACUGUGAAAGCAGAGAAAAAGUAAAAAGCGAGGCCCAUGUGUUCCCUUUCUCCCACUUCGCCUACUCCAAAAUCUCCUUGGUGCUCCUACUCCUUGAUCCCCCACCAAGACCAAUGGAUCCUGGCUCUUUUUUUAUGGAGACUCCCCACCGAGGUAGACGCUAGUUAAAAGGUUACUACCCAGCUGUGAAAUAUGUAGACAGGGUAACAGCUAAAUGGCGGAGUGACCUCAUAUCUCAUAUUUAUUGACUAAAUGUGGCUUGAACUAGUCACCACUAGUAAAAUAAACCACAGCCCCAAGUACUGCAGGAAUAUUCCAUGGCAGACAGACUCCUGAUUCCUCGUCACACGUUCUCUUUCACUUCAGUUAAAAAAAAAAAAAAAAAAAGGAAAAAAAGAGAAAGGAGAAAGAAAGAAAGGGAAAAGCUUUUUUACUAACUUCAUUUCAUUUACACUUUAGGUCCUACAGAAACCCUUUCAGUACAAGCUUGCUUUUUCCAGUAAGAAGAGCUGCAAAUCUCUCUGAGUUUGCACUGGAAGAGAGAGCGAGAGGGAAUGAGCCCUGUGGAUCACGUUCUCGCCAACAUCCACCUCAAGGCAAAGCUUGGUCAAACUAGGCUAGGUGUGUUAGACUUCCAGAGAGAGAGCUGGGGUCAGACAGCCACUCGUGACACCGGUGUCCAUCACACUUGCUAUCAUGGGCCUGAGAAAUAGCUAUGAAAAAUCAGGGGACUCUCUCAGGUGUGGGCUGCAUAAGGAAAUUAAUGUGGUAAGAAGGUAAAGUGAUUCAUUUCUGACUUUUCCAGUGAAUUGAACUCAUUCAGUACUAGACAGGCUUUCCAGAAGAAGAGCCUCUUGAGCUAGCCUAACUGCAGCUGUAGGCACGGCCUCUGUCGCGGAGAACCUGGAGAGGCCAAGUCAUGAGCACUGGGAGACCCGUAAAGGCUCCUGGGGUACCGUUUACACGCAAAGCCGUGGCCCCUUGGCUUCCCUCAUCCCACCAGGUCACUGGCCCAUUUCUCAUUGCCUUGUGACCCAAAGGCCGGCGGGUGCUGAAAACCAACUGCGUCGUAGCUCAUUAGCUCACGGUUGUCUGCGGGUCCCCAAGGGGCUGGUGGAAGCCCUGUGCCACAAUAACGGUAGUCUGGGCUGGAAAAGCCACAGCGCGUUGCAGGUGUUGCUAUAACGUACUGCCUGGGAUUACCUUUUCGGUCAAAAAUUAUGAUGCAGUGUUUCCCUUUGGAGAUUUACAUGCACAUUGGGGGGAUACCGAGUAUUGGAAAAAAGACCAACUUGGCACCAAGACGGGAUACAGAUGUUACAACUGUGAGCCCACGUCAACGCCGACUGUAAACUUCAGCCAUCCUGCAAUCUCAGGGAGCCUAACAGCUCUACGUGGCUGACUUUUAAUACAGUAAUGAUGCAGAAAUCCCCUCUCUCCCCCCAUUUCUCAGUUAAACUAUUACAGAGACUCAAAAUUCAAGGGCUGGUUGUGAGACACUGCUUAUUUUGAGGUCACAGGUGAUAGGCCAUCUUGAUAAGGGGACCUGUCAAAAAUAUUCUUGAUCAUGUCACCUGGGACCUUAUGUUAAUUGUUAUUGUGGUUAGUUUUUCUAAGCUAAUACGUAGAUCGAUAACAAGGGUCAGAGAAAGGAGAGGAAAUUGCCUUUUUAAUGCUCUGUAGAGAUAACAGUGUCUUUUUGCUGCAGGAAAUUUUGCCAGCAGAGAAUCUACAGAAGUGUCUUUCCCUGCUGAUGUGGCACCCCUUUGUCCAUAGAAAAUAGGGUCACUGAGGCUGAAGCCCUCACUUUUCCAAUUGUAGAAAAACAAAAUAGGUCUCUUACUAUCUAUGUUAAUAUUUGGAGAGGGGAAUAAAUAUUAAAAAGUUAUUAUUGCAAAAUACCAUAAUGCUAUCUCAGAAUUCGGUGUUUAAGAAAGCACUCUUGGACAUUCAAAUGGUGAAGCUAGUUGUGUGCUAGUUUUUUUUAAUCAGAAAAGAUAACUUUAUUGCUUGUUUGCACUGAUUAUUCUUUGAUUUUUGUUUAAAUUCCUGUCUGACUUGAGUAGGACACUGGUUUGGUUUGAGUGCCAGCUACCUUGUCUUACCACAUGAAGGACAGGCUUUGUGUGCCAGGACGUAUUUGUGCUGUUUAAUUUCAUCUGUGAUCCUCACUGUUGCACUCUUCAGCAUUGUAACACAGCUUUGGGCUGGGGUAACACACCAUCCUCUGGUUUGGGGCUGAAGCCAUCAUGUUUCAUGGUUUCCACCUGAGGUCAUAAAUCAAGCUGUAGUUGGAUUAAAACUUGGGUUAUAUUCACCGGCAGUUUUGCUACUUUCACUGAACCUUGCAGUGAUUUGGACGUGAGCUGAAGAUUUAUGCUUAUUUGCAGAGCCCACGGUUCCAGGUCAGAGCUUGGACUGAGGCAUUACUAGGGAAUCGCUGCUUCUGCAGACGUCUUUGGUGGCCUCAUCUGAAGCAAGAGACAUGAGGCUUCGAUUGCUAGGAAAAGGCAUCCAGCCCUUGUCUCCCUGCUGAGUCUCCUCCUGAGAAGUGAGUGACUUGAUAGAACAAGCCUGAAAACGCUGAUAUGAACAUUGCUGAGGAAAAUGUGAACUGCCCUCGUUCUUCUUAACUAGGGAGGGCAACAUUGGAGCCUGUAUAUGACCGCGUCAAAAAGAGCAUAUGGGCAGAUCCAAGUGGAAAAUUGGAAGCAGAGUAGAAUACGGGUUUGGCUUAACUUUUCGUUUCUAAUCUCUUCUCACACAGAAGUUACGGAUGGAUGGGAUAUCUUGGGGAAACCCCAGCUCCAUGGCCUGGACAUGAAGAAAGGAGACGUUUCAAAGACUCACAGUGACAGAAGUGCUGGAAGCGAUCGGUGCAUGAGAUGUUCGUCUGCAUCCCGGGAGACACGUGUACUCUUACUGAGUUUGUUCCCCCAAAACUCUUAACCGAUUUCAAAUUACGUAAUUUCAACUUUGCUGCUGUUGUGAACUGGAGGGGAAAUUCGAACUUCCAGCAACAAUGACAACAGAGCUUUAACCUUUCCAGAUUUUCCCAUUAAAACAUUUGGAGGGAAAAAAAGAAACAGGCGCUGUCAGAAACCAGGAGCCUCUAAGCCCGUGACAGUCGGCCCUUCUUUGGGGCGGAUUCGCCCAGUGCUGGAUUUGGGAUAGGAACCACAAAGCCAUUUCUCACUCUGCCUCGCCGGAGCUUCUCCUGUGUUUGUUUGGGAGACAGAAAUAGCUUUUGCUGAGAGGAUGAUGAGGUUACGCAUCCUGAGCUGUCCUGGUCUCUAAAACUAGACUCACCCGUUUCAAAAGGAUUCUGCAGGUUUCCGGAGUCCACGUGGAUGUUUUGGAGGUCCUGCCGUAUGUGGCAUCUCUGCAGAGGUGAGAACAACUCAGCAGAUGCACUCGCCUGUGGAUCAGUCCCUACCUUUCUCCUGCUCAAAGACCAUGCAGAAAGCAAGAAUCAAGCGACUGAAAGAUUUAUGUUGGAACUAGAUCCCCAUGGAUCAGAACCUCCCAGCACAGUCGGACUUGUACCAAACAUAACUUCAGUCACCCACCCUUGGGAUGGAAACAGGCAGAGCAAACAAUGAAACAAGACUGUUUAUAAAGCCUUCAACACAUUAGGCAGUGGAGAAGAGCCCAAGUUUCCAUGUAAAGGCCUGAAUGGACAAGAAUGACGUGAAGCACAUGGAAAAUAUGGAAAAUGUGGAAUAAGUAAUAAAAUUAUAAAUAAAACAAAUACAAUAAAUUGGGAA